GCACUUUAAGCAGUGAAGAAGACUCCGUGGUUAAUACCCACGGAUGAUGACAUUAGCUGCAGAAUAAGCACCGGCUAACUCUGUGCCAGCAGCCGCGGUAAUACAGAGGGUGCAAGCGUUAAUCGGAAUUACUGGGCGUAAAGGGAGCGUAGGUGGCUCUAUAAGUCAGAUGUGAAAUCCCCGGGCUCAACCUGGGAACUGCAUCUGAAACUGUAGAGCUAGAGUAUGUGAGAGGAAGGUAGAAUUCCAGGUGUAGCGGUGAAAUGCGUAGAGAUCUGGAGGAAUACCGAUGGCGAAGGCAGCCUUCUGGCAUAAUACUGACACUGAGGCUCGAAAGCGUGGGUAGCAAACAGGAUUAGAUACCCUGGUAGUCCACGCCGUAAACGAUGUCUACUAGUCGUUGG
RNAcentral lists this ribosomal RNA (404 nucleotides) under uncultured bacterium. RNAcentral describes it as "bacterial SSU rRNA". It matches the Rfam family "Bacterial small subunit ribosomal RNA", at positions 430 to 826 of the family's 1533-position model. The record is from RNAcentral.